RNAcentral lists this long non-coding RNA (14540 nucleotides) under Populus trichocarpa (black cottonwood). RNAcentral describes it as "long non-coding RNA (PTRI_LNC004379)". The record is from RNAcentral. Lineage: Eukaryota; Viridiplantae; Streptophyta; Magnoliopsida; Malpighiales; Salicaceae.
CCAAUAUGCUAGCAAGGGGACUCAACUGGGCGCUGCAGGAAACGGGUAUGCAACAAUUUUGGUAUGGCAAGAAGUGGAGUCUCACCAGUUCGACCCAUCAGCCUCAAAACUGGUGUGGGAGCAAGUUUUUAAACCAGUUUUUGGGUUACCAACAGAUGCAGCUCUAGUUGCCGAGACGGAGGUGACUCUCGGUAAGGUUCUAGAUGUGUACGAGGCAAGACUGUCUCAAUCCAAGUACCUAGCCAGUGACAGCUUCACCUUGGCCGAUCUGCACCACCUCCCUAACAUCCAGGCCUUGUUGGGGACUCCAUCCAAGAAAUUGUUCGAUUCUCGCCCCCAUGUUAGCGCAUGGGUUGCCAGUAUCACUGGAAGGCCAGCUUGGGGCAAGGUGCUCGCUUUGCUUCCCAAGUAAAUUAGAAAGUAACUAUGCAGGGUCUCUUGUACUGAAUAAAUAAUAAAAAAGAUGAGUAUGGUGUUUAGUCAUCAAUAUAUAUAUUUCUGUUUACAGAAACAGCUAGACUGAAAGGUCCCCUGUUUGCUUCUCGAGUACUUGUAUUUUGAUCUUGUGUAUGGUGUUUAGUCAUCAAUCUUCUAUGCGAAGGAUGGUUAAACUUGGAAUAAAGUUGUCUUUUUUUGUGUUGUUCGUGGCAUUUCCUGCAUCGGUUUGUAAAGUGGGACAUUGAUGAGCCUUGAAAUUUCAGUUCAGAUUUUAUGGACCAAUAUCAUUUCAACAUUCUCAAGUUUUGAUCUUAAUUCUCUCUUCUUCUUUUUUUUAACAAAUGCGUAGCGAUCAUUCUAGCUCUGGAAACACAUGAACGCUCCUUUGUGCUCUUUUGGUGUUGGAAAAACGCUUCUUUCAUAUGGGCAUCUGCCCUUCAGACUUCAGGUUUGGUCGAAAUAUGGCAGAAGCAUUUGGUUCUAUGCUAGCCAUCCUCCUUGCAAGAGUAAAGCUGGAACAGGUUGUGCACACAAGUAGGUAGUGAAGUGAUGAUUCGUCUUGCACUUGAUCAAGGCAGUUUUUAUCGUUUUGAAAAAAGAAGUGAUCUUCUUCAUAAAAGGCAUUUUAUGUCUCUAUUAUAGACUAAAUUUACAAACAUCAUAAUACCUUUAAUUUUCAAUUGCAAUGCUUAAAGUUGCAUGUAUCCUUCUGUCUUUAUUUUUUUUAUCAAACUUUAAAGCAAAUUUGAAGCUUCAUAGGAUGAGGUGAAUGGUUAAAAAAGAAAAAAAAAAGAAAUUAACUAUAACUAAAAGGGAUUAGGGUUAGUGUUUUAUUGUAGAAUGAGUUAUUGUGAAUUGUAAGUAUUUUUUAUUAUGAAUUAUAUUAUUUGAUACUAUAAUAUUAAUUACUUAUUGUAGAUGGUAAAUAAUUUUACUCUGAAUUGUACUAUUUGGUGGUACAUGAUGAGCUUGCAGACUAGGGCUGAGCAUUUCCGGUUCGGUCCGGUUUUAAACCAAAAUAAACAACCAAACCGAAUUUUUUUUUUUAAUUUUUUGAACCGAACCGAACCGAAAACCGGUUCAAACCGAUUAAUUUCGGUUCAGUUCGGUUUUUUUCCCUUCCAAACCGGUUCAAACCCAAUGGUCCUCUCUGCUUCUCCUACAACCUUGACCGCAACAACGUUCAACUGCACAUAGCGUUGAUUGUUCGAGGAAAAGUUCAUCCAUUUCAUUGUAAUUAAUCAAAUGGCAGGGGGUUGUAGAAAUCCACGGAUAUGAAAAACAAAAGAAAAGGAAUGGAUCUACUAUUCCAAUUCCAUUUGUGGCACAGACUCAACAAGAAAAUUGAAACCCAAAGGAACCAAAUCCAUAAGGGAGGGGAGGAAAAUCAAAGGCAGAGGGUAAAGUGAGAAAGAUGCAGAGAAGGGAGGAAUGGAUCUACUAUUCCAAUUCCAUUUGUGGCACAGACUCAACAAGAAAAUUAAAACCCAAAGGAACCAAAUCCAUAAGGGAGGGGAGGAAAAUCAAAGGCAGAGGGUAAAGUGAGAAAGAUGCAGAGGAGGGUGGGGUGGGGGGGGGGGAGGGUAACGUGAGGGGCAGAGAAGUGAGAGGGUAAAGUGAGAGACAGAGAAGGGAGAGAGUGGGGGGGGGGAGGGUAACGUGAGAUGCGGGGGGGUGAAGUGAGAGGGAGAGAAGGGGGCGGCGGCUAGGGUUAGGAAAUGUUUGUAUUUAUAGUUGUUUUAUUUUUUUAAAUGCUGGUUGAUUGAACCGGUUCGGUUCGGUUCAAUCGGUUUCAGACUUUAGAAACCGAAACCGAACCGAACCGGAAUUUUUUUGUGAUUUUUUAAUCGGUUAAUUCGGUUUUUUUUUCGGUUCGGUUUCUUCGGUUAUUUUUUUUUCGGUUUUCUCGGUUUAAUCGGUUUAUCGGUUUUUUUGCUCACCCCUAUUGCAGACUGUGAAUUGCAAUGUUUAAUAAAGCGAGACAAACAUGUUUUUCUUUUCUUUUUUUCUUUUUCCAAAAGCUAAAGUGCUGCAAUAUCUUUAUUCAUUCUCAUGGCUUUUCGUAAAAACACAAGGAUGAGAUGAUAGUUGACGAGAGCGGUGGACUUGAGUCUUUGAUGAUUUGAAAAGAAAAUGAAAAUGAAAAUGACAUAAAUGUGAUCAGUCCACCAGAUGUUUCAUUGCGAUCAUUUCAACCCUUCCACUCGCUUCGGAAAUCAAAGUUUUGAAUUUUGUUUUGAUAUGUGUUUUGUUUUUUUAAUUGAAAUAAAAUAUUUUGAUAUCAAAGUGUUUUGAUGUAUCAUUUAAAAGUUAUACUGUUUAUGUAUAUUAAUUCAAAUUCAAGAUAAAUUAAUUAUAAAUUAUACAAUACAAAUAUAAUGUCAAACAAAUAUAAUUUUAAAAUUUAAAAUAUUCAUAAAUAAUCAAGAUUAAAUAGAACUUUAACUUAAAGUAAUUCAACUUAAACAAAAUACCAAAAUAUUAUGAAAGUAAAAUGUUUUGACACAAAAAAAACAUAAAUCAAACAUCAUCUCCAUCAUUAAAAUAGAAAUAAAGAUCUUGAUCUUGUGGUGGUACGUAGGGAAAGUCACCAACUAAACAUUUCAAUAAUUGAUCAUUUCCACCAAGCUCAUUCUCGUCAUCAAAACAUAUCUCUUCGUCCUAUAAAGUUAAAGUAAACGAAGGUGCUUCAAUAGUCUCCUAACUUAUAUCCUCUCCAUUAAGAAGGCUAGAUUCUUCACAAAUUCAUUCAUUCAAUAGGUCAAUGUUAUCUAAGCUAAUGGGAUUUAAAGCAUCCCUUAUUUUGCUCAAAUUCCUACAAAGUAUAAACAUGAAAAAAAACAACAUGAAUAUAAACCAUCUAUAUUAGUGAUAAAUCUAAUUUUAAAAAAUUAAUAUAAUUGUUAUUGGAAAUAGUAAUGAAAAAGAGCUUUUUAUAGUUUAUACUUGGGUGGUUUAAUUAAUCAAAUUGAACCGGGUUUAAUUUGAUUCAAAGGCUUUUUAAGCGCAGAACGGAACAUGUGAAAUGAAAUCGGAACAUUCUGGCCGAAAUUUAUCCGAAAAAUGCUGAAUGGACCGAGAUUUGAAAUGAGAUGAAAUUUUUUUUGUUUUUUGAAUUGGUAUGAAAUGUUUCGGCCAUUUCGAACGAAAUGGAACGGAAUUGACAAUCCUGCCAAAAACCUUCUAAGAAGCUAACACGUGGUUGUUCUCUGUACAUAAAUUUUGUCCAUUGUAUGGCUGACAUGUUGUCUUACCAUUUCUUUGAUAACGAUUUAAUCCUCACAUUUCAACAUAAUCUUUGCGGUUUUUCACCGACGCAUCGUCUUGCGCAAAUGAUAGAUUUAGGGUUCUUCAACCUAGACUAUAAUUAUUUUUUUAUAAAUUAUAAGUUUUGAAGAAAUUUGUAAAGCCAAUAGUGUUAGUCUAAUAAAACAAUACAUGAAAUUAUUUAUUUUUCUAAUAAAACAUUUACUCCUAACUAAAUAUCACAAUAAAAUCAUUAUUAAUUAAUCAUAGUUGUUUAUGAUUGACAACCUAUCAUGAUCAAUUAUGUAGAGGAAACUUUCAUCGUAGUUGAUUAUGAUUAAUGGUAAUUAAGGAUCAAAAAAUAUAAUGAAAAAAAUAAACGAAUAAGAAAAAUAAAUAAAGAGGGAGUAAAGAUUCAAAUAAAAAUUAAAAAAGAUUAUAAUUGACUUGGUUUGCAUGGAAAGUCUUAAUGAAUAUAUUUAGAGAAUUACUAAUUAUGGGUCUUAUUAAAAUCAAGAAUAAAACAAAGAGAUCUUGUAUAAUUCAAGAAUUGAAAAAUUAAUCUUUGAUUAUAAAAUCUAUAGACCUCGCCCAAGAAAGAAAAAAAGAAAAAAGAUCUUUCAAUUAAUAGAUGAAAUUUAUCUUGUAUGGUGCUAAAUACUAGAGCUUCCCCUCUCAGCACCGUGACUAGACUCUAGCCACCACCAUUAUCCAACUUGUAGCCAUCAUUUCCAACCUAAAAUCCACCCAAAAUAAACUUGCAAUUAAAGCAUUUGGAUAUCCAAAACCAACAAAAGCCAUACAUAAGGAUCUGACAGAAAAAAAAAUCACUUUUCAACUUGAAAGUCUGAUCUGUUUUGUUCAUUCUUUUGCAGGUUCAACAUCAGCAUGCUUCCAGUCGAAUCCAAUAACUCUUGAAUGUCAUUUUUGAAAGCUAAUUUUUUUUUCGUAUUUUGAAUAAUUUCAAUGUAUUGUUAAUUUUGUAUGUAUCCUAUGAUAAAUAUUUGAAGAGCACUUGGUCCAAGUUAAUUAACUAUAACUAAAACUGAUCAGUGUCUCACUACUGUGCAUUGUGAAUGAAUUUACUAUGUAUUGCACUGUUCUGCACUGUAGCGUAGGUACUGUGCACUGUGAGUGUUUUCACUAUGGACUACACUGUUUGGUGAGGGUAUGUGUGAGGCUGCAGCCAGCAGGCCCCAAGCGCUAGGCUGGAGGCACGCCCCCUGGGGAUGCACACACCUGACGCUUGGCUGCAACGCCCGAGCACUGGGCAGGCCAUGCCUGUUGACAGGGGCCUAGGCUGCAACCACCUGGCGCUCAAUCUACCCUGCCUUGGGCGCAUGGGCUGCCUGCAUGUAUGCUUGGCAGACCAAGUGCACACAUGGCGCUUAGGUUGAUGCCUGUGUGAGAAAUAUUAUUAUUUCAAAUUUAUUAAUUAUUUUAUUAAUAAUAUUAAUUAUAAUAAAAAUAAUAAUAUUUAUAACACAAAUAAUAAUAUUUUUAAUAUUCAUACUAUUAAUUAUAAUAAAAAUAAUAAUAUUUAUAACACAAAUAAUAUUAGUUUUGAUAUGAAUAUUUAGAAUUAUAAUAAAAAUAAUAAUAUUUAUCACAUAAAUAAUUAUAUUAAGAAUUACAAUGAUGAUUAUAACACAAAUAAUAAUAUUUUUUAUAUCAAUACUUUGAGUUAUAAUAAAAAUAAUAAUAUUUAUAACAUACAUUAUUAUAUUAAGAAAACUGACGUGGGGUUGGGCGUGUACACAUCCAGGUCCAACAUGGGGUUGGGUGUGGAUGCGUCACCCCUCCAACGUGGGGUUGGGCAUGGACACGUUCAGGCCCAACAUGGAGUUGGGCGAGGACAUGUACAGGUCCAACGUGGGGUUGGCGGCGGACGCGUCCAGGCCCAACGUGGGGUUGGGCGCGGACGUGUCGAGGCCCAACCUGAAGGUGUUAAUAUUAAAAUACUAUUAUUUGUGUUAUAAAUAUUACUAUUUCUAUUAUAGUUCAGAGCAUUAAUAUAAAAAAUAUUAUUAUUUGCGGUACAAAUAUUUUUAUUUUUAUUAUAAUUAAAAGUAAUAAUAUUUAUUUUUAUUGUAGUUCAAAGUAUUAAUAUCAAAAAUAUUAUUAUUUGUGGCACAAAGAUUAAAAAAUAUUAUAAUUUGCGUUGUAAAUAUUAUUAUUUUUCUUAUAAUACAAAAUAUUCAUAUAAAAAAUAUUAUUAUUUGUGUACUAAAUAUUAUUAUUAUUUUUAUAAUUCAACUCUUCAUAUCAAAGAUAUUAUUAUUUGUGUUCUAAUAUUAUUAUUUUUAUAAUAAUUCAAAGUUUUAAUAUAAAAAAUAUAUUAUUAUUUAUGUUCUAAAUAUUAUUGGAAUUAAAAAUAGUAUUAUUUGUGUUAUGAAUAUUAUUAUUUAUACUAUAAUCAAAAGUAUUAAUAUUAAAAAUAUUAUCUUUUGUGUUAUAAAUAUUAUUAUUUUUAUAAUAAUGAAUAUUAUUAAUAAAAUAAUUACUAAACUAGAAAAAACAAUUAUUGCUAAUAUUGAAAAACAACCAUAGAUUUGAUUUAAAAGGUAAAAUUAAUUAAUUAUUAUUAUUAUUAUUAUUAUUAUUAUUAUUAUUAUUAUCAUUAAUAAAUUUUUAAAAACUGUUAUUACCAUUGAAGAAAAACUACGUGGGGACUUGGGUUGCUGCCUAUGUGCUGGGCAGACCCCAGCGCACACAUGGCGCUUGAGCUCCUGCCUCAGUGCUGGGCACACCCUUACGCACCCGUGGCGCUUGGGCUACGCUGGGAGAGAGCCAUGUCUGUGCCCCACUUGGGGACAUCUAGCGCCUGGGUCAUGGCAUUGGACCCAAGGUUUUUGAAUCUUAAGAUUCUAAAUAUAAUUAUUUGUUUUAGAAAUAUUUUUAUUUUUAUUAUAAUUAAUAUAAUUAAUAAAAUAAUUAAUAACUUUGAAAGAAAAUAGUAUUAUUAAUAUUCAAAACAUAUUAUUAUUUAUAUUAUAAAUUUUUAUGAUAUGUUUUAUAAAAAUAGAAAGUGAGCCCGCAGCGUAGUAUUACUAAAAAUAUUCAACAAUUCUAAGUAUUAAUAUAAAAAAUUACUAAAAAUAUUCAACAAUUCUAAGUAUUAAUAUAAAAAAAUAUUAUAAUUUGUGUCGUGAAUAUUAUUAUUUUUCUUAUAAUCAAAAGUAUUAAUAUUAAAAAUAUUAUCUUUUGUGUUAUAAAUAUUAUUAUUUUUAUAAUAAUUAAUAUUAUUAAUAAAAUAAUUACUAAAUUAGAAAAGAUAUUAUUCUUAGUAUUGAAAAACAACCAUAGAUUUGAUUUGAAAGGUAAAAUUAAAAAUUACUACUAUUAUUAUUAUCAUUAAUAAAUUUUAAAAAACUGUUAUUAUUAUUGAAGAAAAACCACUUGGGGAUAUGUGGUGCUUGAGUUGAUGCCUGUGUGUUGGGCAUACCCCCAACGCACACAUGACGCUUGGGCACCUGUCUUAGUGCCGAGCACACACUAGCGCACACGUGGCGCUUGAGCUGUGCCAAGACCGACCCAACUAUUCUUGGAUCCCGCAUGUUGUAAAAUUCAAAAUAGCCUUGAGUCAUUAGUUAUAAAGGACCCAAAAUAUACUUAAGUCCUACCAACAUUAAGACACAACUUUUUUAUAAAAAUAAAAGGUGAGCACACAGCAACAUAGAACAUCUAACUAGUAAAAGCUAUUUGUGAAACAUGUCCUACGGAGAGACCAAGAUAAAAGGUUUGGUCCCUUUUUUGAUAAGGAGGUGCCACUUUUGGGCCCUUAAAUUUCUUGCUUGGUUGCAGCUGGAAUUUUGAUCUAAUCUUGUUGAAUUUUAAAUUAAUAAAAAAAAUGAACACAAAAGUCUUGCAAUAAAAACAAAUUAUAAUAUAGAAAAUUUCUUAUAUGUUUUAUGAUGUACGCUAUUUUGAUAAAUUAAUAAUUGUUCAAUCUUUAUUGUUUUGAUGUUUUCUUAAAUUGUCAUAUCUAAUUUUCGAAGAUUAAAUAUUUUGUUUCAUAUUUAUUUUAUGAUAUAUGUUAUACUAAUUAAAUAAUAAUUGUUCAAUCUAAUAUUAUUUAUAAACUAGAUUAUUUUAUUACAUUAUAUAAAAAAAUUAAAAUUGGUGGACAAUCUAUAGUGUACCAAUGGAACAUUAUGAACAACCAUAAUGUUUUUUUUUUAGUUUGUGCACAAAACCUGAAGAAAGAGAGAGGAAGGGAGGGGGGGGGGGACCAUCAGAGCCACUUCGAGACUUCAAUGCCAACAUGUACUACUCUAAGAGAAAAAACUCGAUGAGACAAUACUGGCAACACCAAGAAAGGCCAUGAUCGGAGCUCGGAGGAGGCCACACGUGCGUCCUUAACAUGGUGGCCUCCUCACACGAUUGGGCGUGUCACUUAUGCGCUAGACAAUUUUUUUUCCCCUCAUUAUUUUAUGCCAUUUCAGUUUGGUUCUAGAUUUUACACAACUGUUUUUAUUUGGACCCCAAUUCUUUGAUAACUCUUCAAUUUAGUUCUAAAUUUCAUCCUACCCAAGGCUAAUUGAGACUUAACUAGGGAAAAGAAUGAGACAUAUCAUCCAACCAGGUUAUCUCAUUGUGGUUAUGUUUAUGACUCGGGCCGUGAAUUUUAUAGGUUAACCUAAGUUGACGGGGGAAAUGCAAUAUGACAUUUUUUUAUAUAUAAAAAAAUUCAUUCCUAACUUUUUUAUAACUCUUCAAUUUAGUCUUUGUGAUAAUUUUUCACUUUGGUACCAAAAUUCAUCCCACCAAAGGAUAAUUAAGGCCCGACUAAGGAGAAAAUAAAGGAUAAGAAAAGAUGGAGGCAUAUUGCCCAACAGGGUUUUCUCAUCGUAGUCGUGUCCAUGACUUGGAUUGUGACUUUCACAGGUUAACCCAGGGUAAUUAAAGUCGAUACAAUGUGGCAUUUAAAAAAAAAAAACAAAUUAGACCCUAGUUCUUUUAUAACUCUUCAAUUUAAUCUCUUUGAUAACUAUUCCAUUUAGUCACAAUUUUCAACCUGCCUAAUGCUAAUUAAGGCCCAACUAUAAAGAAAAUAAGGGAUGUUAAAAGAAAAAGACAUAUUGGCCAAUUAGGUUAUCUCAUUUUGGUCAUGUCUAUGACCCGACUCGUGAAUUUUAUAGUUAACCCAAGUUGAUCGGGGUUGAUCCAAUAUGAUGUUUUAAAAAAAAGAAUCCUCAAUUCUUUUAUAACUCUUCAAUUUAGUCCUAGAUUUCGUCCAACAUGAGACCAAUCGAGACUUAAUUAAGGCUCAACCAAGAAGAAAAUAAAGGAAGGAAAAAGAAAGAGACGUAUUUCCCAACUAGGCUAGCUCAUUAUGGUCGUGUCCAUUACUUAGGUCAUAAAUUUUACAGUUUAACUCGGGUCAAUACAAUAUGUGUUAUCUUUUCAUUUCACUUCUUGAUUUUAUUUUAUUUUACAUUGGACAGUUCAUUAUUUUGCAUUUAAACCUAAUGGGUUAAGGCAGAGGUUAAAUUAACAGAGAUGUGAAGUUUUUCGAGAUUCAGAUUGUCAUUUGAAUGAGGCGACUAGUUCAUCAUAGAUAAUUUUUACAAGAUUGUUUAUAUGAAAUUGAAUAGUAUUAUGAAUAUAAAAAUAAAAAUGAAAUCAAGAGCUAUUUUUUAGCCAAUAGAAGUUUAACUCCUACAAAAUCAAUUCUAUAAUUUUAAAAUUCAGACCUAUUUAGCAGGCUGAUUCGAGAUUUGAACUACUACAUAUUAAAAAAACAAAAAAAAAAUUAAUUGACUUUGGUAAAAAAUUCAAGUCAAUCCAUUAACUUAAUCAACGUGGGUUUGAUCUAGUCAAAACCUAAUUUUCUAUCUGCUGAUUUUUAUUUAAAAAAAACAAAUUUAAUCAACUAUUUUUUAUAAAAAAAACAAAUUGGAUGGAAACCUUCGCAACCUAAAAUUUACCUUAUAUUAAUCUCUUUAUGGUUUUUAAUUUUACAAAGGUGUUUGUAAAUGUAUUAGUGAUUGUUUUUUAAAGUGUUUUUUACUCGAAAAUAUAUUAAAAUAAUAUUUUUAUUUUUUAAAAAAAUAUAUUUUUAAUAUCAACAUAUUAAAAAAAAUUUAAAAUAUAAAUAAAAAAAAUAAAUUUUAUACAAUCUCGUUUGGAACGCAAUAAAAAAAAACGGCUACGAUCACUUCAUGAUUUUUCUUAUCAACUAGAUAGUAGAUAGAGGAACAAUCUAGCGUGCCAGGCGCGUGCCCACGCCUGGGCCUAGGAAGUAGGAAGCCAGGCUCGUUUUGCAGGGGAUGGGGUUGCUAUGGAGCAGCUAUCAAAUAAUGCAUUGCUCCAGUCAUAUCUUCUUUACCAACCAAUUAGGCUAGAAAUCUGUCACGAAAAGUUAAUGUCUACUGCUAAAAAUACAGGUGACGCUAUAUUAUUACAAACAACAUUGUUUUUUUUUUUUAAGUUUAAUAUGGAUGUUCGGGCUAGCUUACGCGUACCUCGACUAAUUUCACGGGCCCUGAAGUUAACGACCAUGUAAGCCUCCAGUGACCAUCAUAUGAGUAACCACAUGGCUUGAACCUGAGACCACAGAGGAAGCAAACCUCUUGGUCCCAAGCUUUUACUACUGGGCCACCACCUAGAUGGUUGCUCAUUCUUUUUUUUUUUUGUUAUUUACGUGGGGUGUCCGGGCCAGCUUACGCGCACCACGACUAUUCCCCACGGCCCACUGGACACCCUGCAAGCCCAGGAGCAGGUAAGGCACCGCGGGGGUGACAGGCGUGCACAUAAAGGGUCGAACCCGGGACGGGGGCGGAACAAGUCACACGAUUGACCACAACAGCUAGACCCUCAAGUGCUUGCUCAUUCUUUUUUAAAUAUACAGGUUGUGCCAUUGAAAAUAACAUGUAUAAUCUUUGAGUCAAAUCUUUGAUUAAUUUAGUUUCAAGUCAAGUAUCAAGUCACCAAGUUUGUUUUCAAAAUUGUUUGGUUAAAAGAAAUGAAAUGUCUAAAAUUUAGACAACCUAAUUUCCAAUUUUGGACAAACGUAUGUCCAAGUUUUGACAAUUUAUUUCGACAAAUGAAUGUCCAAAAUUUAGAUAUUUUAUUUCUCCCUCCACCUAAUCUUAUUAGGUAUUCUUUGAAGAAAAUAAGUUGAAAUGGUUUUUUGAAUCUAAAAACCCUAGCUCGAUUUUCCAGCCACCUCUUUGAUAGUUAAAAAUUAAAUCAACAGUCGACAUGUCAUUUGUUUUUUUAAUAAAAUUAUAGGUACGUGAAAGAUAUCGAUGAAUGAGAAUUUAAUAGAAAAUACAUAUAAGACAUAAAUGUAUGGGAUUUUUAUAAUUUUGAGAAAAACAAAUUGUUUCCUUCAACCAUUUACAAUAAAAAAUGAGUUGGAAGAAAAUUUUCUUUUCUCUUUCUUUCUUCUUUAAUCUUAUUCAUUUUAGGGAGUUAUGGAAAGCGACUACGUGUUUCUUAUUUGUUUAAGAAAUGAAAGUAGAUAGAAUUAGAGAGAGAGUUGUUACCUAGAAGAAAGUGCCCAAUUUCUUUUUUCUGUUUCUUUUUUCAUUAAUGUUAUUAAGAUUAGCCAACUAGUUAUCUAGUAAUGUGGGCAAAAUAUUUUAAAAAUAUAUUUUUUUAUUAAAAAUAUACUAAAAUGAUGUUUUUUAUAUAUAUUUAUGUUUUAAUCUUUGAUAUAGUAUAUCAAAAUUAUAAAAAAAUUAAUUUAAUACUUUUACAAAUAAAAAAUAAUUUUAAAGAUAUAUGGAACAAAAUUACAAACACACCGUUCGUGACAUUCUUAUAGAUUUCCCAUAGCAAUACCUCGCUACAAGUUACCAAUUAUUAUUAACUUUUUACUCCCUCCGUCCAAUUUGUUUCAUCAUAUAUUUUGUUUUAUCUAUAGAAUAUCCAAUAUUUAUCUCUUUUUAAAUUGAAAUAUAUGGCACUAUUAUAAUUUUUAUUUUUCUCUUUAUGGUUUAAAAAAUAUUAUCCAUAAUUAUUUUUUAUUCCAAAAUAAUGCGUUUUAAUAUUUUUUUUUAAAUAAAACAGUUUUAGCAUAUGUACACAAAUAAAUAAUAAUCGAUGUUUUCGUAAAUAACUAAAAGUUUACCAGGAGGAGAAAUAAAGUGAGUGCUAAAGUUACAUCAUCAAAUACGUCACCACUCGAUAAAUUAUGACGUGACUAAUAAGACAAGGAAAAUGAUUUUUUAAAAAAAAAUUAGUAUUGUUUUGAAAAAAAUUGGCAAAAUAAUAUAAUUAUUUUUGAUAAAAUAACAUAAUUUAAUAUAUGUCGUGAUUGAGAAUAAUAACCUUGUAAGAAGGCAAUAACAACUUCUAAAAAUUAGUAAAAAUAAGUUGGCAUAUAUUUCAAGAGAGAGAGAGGAGAUAAAGAAAAAAAGAAAAAGAAAGAGAUGUUGGAGACAAAUUGAAACUUCAAUUAAGACAUUAUUAGUAUUAUCAGAAAUAUCUUGACGAGAUAAAUCGAAAACACCAAAAAAUAUCAAUAAUAAUAGCUGUAGUAGAUCACACACAACGAAUAACUUACUUGUCAUUUGACGGAGAGUAUGACUCACUCUAGUCAUUAUUAAUAAUCUGUUUUGUGUCAUAGAAUUUAUAUUGUAGAGAUAUUUUUAAUGGUAUUGGUCAUAAUCGAAGCUUUGAUAUACAUUUGAUAUUUCUUUCUUUUCUUUUCUAUUCUUUUCUUUUCUUUUUAUUUUUUGUUAUUGAAAUUUGUGUUAGCAAUUCCUUAAAAAAUUUCUAUUCCCAAAUACGAUUUCUUAUAAAGCUGUUGUUUUUAAUAGUGAAAUAUGUCAAACCGGGCUGUUAUGUUGAAAUUGUUUUUGCUUGUGUUAUUUGGGUUUUUUUUUUAUUAAAAAAAUGGCCUGUUUUGAUCAAAGUUAUCAAUUUUGUUCCGUUUCGCCUGAAAUGGCUGAAACAUUCCAUACCAAUUCAAAAAACAGAACAAAACAGAACAAUUUUUCAUCUCAUUUUAAAUCUCGGUCCGUUCCGGAUUUUUCGGCUAAAUUUCGAUCGAAACGUUCCGGUUUCAUUCCAUAUGUUCCGUUCCGCUCUUGAAAAGUCAUUGAAUCAAAUUGAACUUUAAUUAAUUAAACCACCCAAAAUAUAAAAAGCUCUUUUUCAUUACUAUUUUCAAUAACAAUGAUAUUAAUAAUAAUAUUGAAAAUUAUUAUUACUAUUUUCUUUAACAAUGAUAUUAAUUUUUUAAAAUUAGAUUUAUCACUAAUAUAUAUGGUUUAUAUUCAUGUUAUUUUUUUCAUGUUUAUACUUUGUUGGAAUUUGAGCAAAACAAGGGAUGUUUUAGAUUCCAUUAGCCUUGAUAACAUUAACCUAACUUAUAUUUAAAAUAUUUGUGUUAAAACAUUUUACUUUUAUAAUAUUUUGAUAUUUUAUUUAAGUUGAAUCACUUUAAGUUAAAGAUCCAUUAAUCUUGAUUAUUUAGAAAUAUUUUAAAUUUUGAAAUUAUAUUUGUUUGGCAUUGUGUUUGUAUUGCAUAAUUUAUAAUUAAUUUAUCUUUAAUUUGAAUUAUGUUUGUUGAAUAUAUAUAUAUAUAUAUAUAUAUAUAUAUAUAUAUAUAAACAGUACAACCCUGAAAUGGUACACUAAAAUAAUUUAAAAUUAAAAUAUUUUAUUUCAAUUAUAAAAAUAAAACAAUUAUCAAAACAAAACAAAAUUAAUGAACUCUGUUUGUACUGUGAAGGAAAUAAAUGGUCAAUUGAUUUAGGCGGCCUAUUGGUUCAUAAAUUCCACUCGUCCAGCCAUCGGAAAUCCAUCGUCACCCAUUGGAAAUACUUCUCUAUUUGGUUGAAAAUGACGUGAUUAAUGAGACAAGGAGUGAUGUACGGUUUAUUUUUAUGUUUUAAAAAUAUUUAAAAAAAUUAAAUUUUUAUUUUAUUUUUUUAAAUUAAUAUUUUUAAUACUUUCAAAUUAUUUUAAAACAUUAAUAUCAAAAAUAAUUUUUAAAAAUAAAAAAAUAUUAUUUUAAAUAAAAAACACUUUAAAAAUAACUUCAAUUACACUCCAAACACACCCUAUAUAUCAUGAAUGGAUUGUGAAGGAAACAAAUGGUCAAGUGAUUCACGCGGCUUAUUGGUCCAUAAAUUUCACUCGUCCACCCAUCGGAAGUACACAUCGUCACCCAAGCCAACAAGAACCGAAAUCUCUCAUUUUCUGCUUUAUUCACUGAAGAAGUCAUGGCCCCUUUGAAACUCCAUGGAAGCGUUUUAUCUACCAACACACAGCGAGUUCUAGCAACCCUUUACGAGAAAGAGGUAGAAUUUGAGCUUGUUAACGUCAAUUUGGGAGCUGGGGAACACAAGCAAGAGCCCCAUAUUUCCCUCAAUGUAAGUGCUUUACUAAUAUUGAAAGAUAAGAGCAUCUAUUUAUUUCCCAUCACAAAUGAUCACUACAUCUAUCGAUUUCUUAAUCUAAUAUAAUAUCAUUUCUUCUUCGAAUGAAAUAGCCAUUUGGUCAAGUUCCAGCUGCUGUUGAUGGAGAUCUUAAGCUCUUUGGUGAGUAAGAUUUCAACCCCUAGUUACUGUAGAAGUACUAUUUUACACGAUUUGUUGGGGGCUAUAGUUUAUUUACUCUUUCGGGUAUUUGCAGAAUCAAGAGCAAUUUCACAGUACGUAGCCCACCAAUAUGCCAGCAAGGGGACUCAACUGGGCGCUGCAGGCAACGGGUAUGCAACAAUUUUGGUAUGGCAAGAAGUGGAGUCUCACCAGUUCGACCCAUCAGCUUCAAAACUGGUGUGGGAGCAAGUUUUUAAACCAGUUUUUGGGCUACCAACAGAUGCAGCUCUAGUUGCCGAGACGGAGGUGACUCUCGGUAAGGUUCUAGAUGUGUACGAGGCAAGACUGUCUCAAUCC